Molecule: long non-coding RNA, 933 nt
Organism: Ochotona princeps (American pika)
Lineage: Eukaryota; Metazoa; Chordata; Mammalia; Lagomorpha; Ochotonidae
Exons: 3
Source: RefSeq, a predicted model, not a curated record
UGGCACCCUGGGCCGACCUACUACAACUCUGAAUAAGAACCUGCUUGAGAAAGAUUUCCCUUACAAGCUGAAUGUUACAUUUCCACUCGACAGAAAGGUACCGCUGUGUGGCCAUAAAAAGUUGGCUCCAGCCCCAUAACCUUUGCAGUUGUUGUGUUAUUUUUGGUUCAUGCCAACGUGGAUCACAGCUGUGACUCAACAGAAGCACUGAAGCAAGAAUUCAAAGAGUUGAAAGAACAGCUCACUCAGAAACGGCUCUCCCCGCCAUGGUGUCAUUACACAACGGCCUACCUUCUCCAGUUUACCAGCUCUGUACCGAUGAGCUCAGUUGUUGUUUGGCCAGCGGCGUUGUGAGUGGCGUCAGCACCCUCACUGCAGCCCGGCGAUGAGGAACCUUUCCUUUCCGAGGUGUUUGUUUUACUUAUUAUGCCGUGAGCGCACAGGGAAUGUGUGCUUGGAGCCCAGGUGCCAUCCCACAGGUCCUGACAAGGUCCCUGGCUAUGGUCCUAGCAGGUAAGGGGAUUGGCUGCACUCUGAAAUUCGCUUCCAGAUAACCUCUCUGUCGACACAGAAAUAUGCUUUGCUCAGUGGGAAAGAAAAAGAUAAUUGAAGACUUCGUCUGCACAUGUCAACGGUCCCGUGAAGAAAAUUGCAAAAACAAUUUCUCUGGUUGUCUCAGAAUAUCCAUUGCAUGAUAUUAUCUGGACAGCAUACAGGCUGAGAUUCUUAAAAAAAAAUCCAAGGUUGGGCCAAAGCUUGAAACACACACAAGUAACAGAUUUGCUAUUUGGGUUACAGUCUGGAAAAAAAAAUCUCUCUGGAAACAGAUUUAUGUCUUAGUUUUGCAUUUUGCCACCAGAUGUCCUUCACGAGUAGGAAACUAUGAUGGCCUGGAUGGUAUUUUGCAGUGUGAAUGCCCAGCGUUUCUGAACA